AGCUGGGUAACUCAGUAGGAUAGAGUAAUAGUUUCCUAAACUUUUAGUCGCGGGUUCGAAUCCCGCCCCAGUUGCCC
This 77-nucleotide transfer RNA is filed under the name Candidatus Karelsulcia muelleri. RNAcentral describes it as "Candidatus Sulcia muelleri tRNA-Arg". It matches the Rfam family "tRNA". Rfam says of the family: Transfer RNA (tRNA) molecules are approximately 80 nucleotides in length. Their secondary structure includes four short double-helical elements and three loops (D, anti-codon, and T loops). RNAcentral also lists the same sequence under 1 other name. Lineage: Bacteria; Pseudomonadati; Bacteroidota; Flavobacteriia; Flavobacteriales. The record is from RNAcentral.